CAACAUUUUUCAUUCCAUUGUAAUAGUCUCUCUUUAAUAGAACUAACUAUUACACCAUUAAACUAGUUGAUAAGUCCUAACUCGACAGAUGCACACACACAUCAUUAUGUUCGUAAACAAAAAUGAACAUCUCAGAUAAUGCGAAGUUGCUUCUCAAUUCAAGAAAAAAACCAAUUGCGCCCCCGGCCCAACCUCACCCCAGAGGAAAAAGAAACGCGAUAAACAGAAAGAACUAUUAUACAUUGAGAGCGCGAUGUAAUUGGAUUACAUUCCCUACAAAAUCAUCUCUCCAUAUCUUUUGGUGGUGCAUCCCAAUCCCAAAUUCAGCUAUGGCUCCGGGUUUGGCAAUGUCUGAGGUGUGGGCUUUUGGAGAGAAUACGAGGGCAAUACUUUCGUAUCCCUGUUUCAUAUCUUAACUAUCAUUGCAAUCCCUGUUUCAUAUCUUAACUAUCAUUGCACCACGAACCAAACCAAAGAACAAGGAGCUCGAGCGUGCAAAAAUCCAUAACGCAGCAGCAGCAGCAGACAAGCUUAUGUUGUGAUGCCAAGAAGUAACAGAGUCGACCUGCCACAUGUAUAUUCAUUUAAGUUCAUGAGAACAACACAUCUGGCUAUGAUUGGGUGAUGGGCCCCAACUAUUUGCCAACAGUUGAGUAUUUUAAAUUUUCAGCAAAAAGUAUAAUCAGCUAGGCUGAUACAAUGUCGUAAUAAACUCGUUUAAGCAAAAAAAAUAAAAAUAUGAGAUUUCCUUGUGUAAUUCGACAGAAAUAGUGGUUUAGAAACUUGGACAUGAAUUCAGUAAACUGCUAAAGCAUGCAAAUGCAACUCGAUAUAUUAUAUUCCAAACCACCGACCGACCACAGGAGUGCACAUGAUCUAAAAAUCUGAGUCCAGAAUAAGUUCUGCUAUAGAUUUCUGUGACUACGUUAAGCCCUUGUUUGAAAGUGAUUAUUUUAAAAUAAAUUUCCCCUCGUGCUCGUUUAGAGCCACACAUUCCCCAAAAAAUAAUUUUCCAAAUAUCCACAUAAAUUUACUAACCACAUAUUCUCAAAAAAUAAAAAAAAUUCACUUUAUUAAUCAUUUUCACACAAGCAAUAAGUUAUACUCCUGAAGUCUGUAAAAUAAGCAGAGAC
This 1133-nucleotide long non-coding RNA is filed under the name Olea europaea (common olive). Its description in RNAcentral is "long non-coding RNA (OEUR_LNC001602)". The record is from RNAcentral. Lineage: Eukaryota; Viridiplantae; Streptophyta; Magnoliopsida; Lamiales; Oleaceae.